AUGAGAAGAUUUUCAAAACUUUCCGUUUGGUUGUUAUGGCGACUAGAGGUCUGCAUGAAUCCCUAAACUUCGAUGAACGGAAGAGAUGUCAUUUGGACGAAAAAGUUGACAUACGAAGGAUGACGCAUGACAAAAGGAUGUCCUUGAAAAUCAUAUAAAGAUACUUCAAAUUCAUCAAGACUGCCAAAGCAGUUGUGUCCAUCUGGGAAGAAGAGGUCUUUACCAUACUGUAAAAUUUCUAAUAACUUCGAAUCCACGGUGACAGAUAAAUGGCGAAUGCCCCCACCACACUGACUCCGAACCUGUUUUUUAUUAUUUACAGCGCUUCUAAUGCAGUUUAGACUUCCGAGGAAAAAUGAUGUCUACAUCAGCAACUAACACACAGCUUUAUUUGUGUUGCAUGAGUUAUGUAUCUUUAAAGUAGCUUUUAUAACUCUUUGUUGUUUUUUAUACCUAUUAUGUUCAGUACAAUCAUACACAAAUGUACAGUAGAUGGUUUCAGAGCUUUAAAAUAUGUUGAUUUUGUUAUUUUCAUGCAGACUCAAGCUUAAUUGUAUUGUAUUUUGUUAAUUUGAGCUGAGCUGAGCUAUGAUAUGUGCUGUAGUGUACUGUACUGUAUUUGAAGUUACUUAUUAGAGCAUCAGGGAUGGGUCAAUUACAUUUCAAAAUGUAAUAAUUAAAUUACCAUUACAACUUAAUUGGUGCUUUAAAUUACAUGUUACUUUACACACUUUUUUGACAGUACUUUUAUUUAUAAAUUUAUUUAUAUAUAUAACCUAUUAGUGAAGUUAUAAAAAAAUAUAGUAUCUGUUAUAUCAGAAGUAUAAUUUGUAACUGAAAGUCACAAUGUCCAUCAAUGAUAGAUGGUUUUUUUUUAAUUUAUAAAUCUCUAUGAGAUUUUGAAAUAUGUUGUCAAAUGAACAUAUGUUAUGUUUUAUAGAUAUCAGAUUAAAACCUCACCAAAUAUACACUGAGAAUGGUAGUUUUAAUAUAAUAUAAUAGUGACAUAAAGGAGCUUCAAAGGAAAAAGAGACUUAGUUUUGUUUAAAGUUUCAGAAAUCUUUGAGUGAAUUUGCAACAUGUUGCCAGAAAUUGGUCAAUUUUCUUUCCUUUCAGCAUGAACACAUCUUAAUUAUGCAAUUAUCCAGUAAUAAAUUAAAUGCUUUUCCUAAAUUUGAUAUCCGUUUCGACUGCAUAAGAGGGUCUGGCCAACAACAGAACAAUGCAUUAUAGGGCAUUACACAUUACUUAUUGCAUUAUCCCGUUGCUGAACAGCAAUGACAUUCAAUGAAAAGAAACUUUCUGCAAGAGGAAUGUUCUUGAAACCAAGCAUACUAUCAGCAUGAUCAGUAGUCCAGUUUCAACACAAUACCUGUCCCGGUUUCUUCAAUGCUGUUUUUAUUAAAAUAGUUCUGGCAUUUGGUUUUUCUUUUUUGGUAAUAUAUACAAGUAAGAAAUAUAAUUGAAGAAAGACAGAUAUGCAGUAUGAAUGUUUGUAUUAAUAUUUUCUUACAGUUUCGGCCAAAAAAGUGACGAAAUAUUAUAAUAUAUCCGUGAUAUUCAUUGCUUAUAUUCUUACUGCAUGGCGCAAUUUUGUCUCUUGAAUUAUUUGUGUUUUUAUUCGCAGCAAAUCUGCAAAUAUUUUAUUUAUUUAAGUAAUAAUAACACAUUUCAAAAGAUCAGUUUCUGUGCUAUCUUUUGGU
Ruditapes philippinarum (Manila clam) is the source of this 1703-nucleotide long non-coding RNA. RefSeq lists it as uncharacterized. The transcript is spliced from 3 exons. NCBI's taxonomy places the organism in Eukaryota, Metazoa, Mollusca, Bivalvia, Venerida, Veneridae. The record is from RefSeq and is a predicted model, not a curated record.